UACGUAGGGGGCGAGCGUUGUCCGGAGUUACUGGGCGUAAAGGGCCCGCAGGCGGUCGAUCGCGUUUGGGGUGACAGCUGGUGGCUUAACUGCCAGAGGGCCUCGAAGACGGAUGGACUUGAGGGCCGACGAGGGACACGGAAUUCCGGGUGGAGUGGUGAAAUGCGUAGAUAUCCGGAGGAACACCGAAGGCGAAGGCAGUGUCCUGGGAGGCCCCUGACGCUGAGGGGCGAAAGCUAGGGGAGCGAACGGG
This 253-nucleotide ribosomal RNA is filed under the name uncultured prokaryote. RNAcentral describes it as "partial 16S ribosomal RNA". It matches the Rfam family "Bacterial small subunit ribosomal RNA", at positions 524 to 776 of the family's 1533-position model. The record is from RNAcentral.